Molecule: ribosomal RNA, 821 nt
Filed under: Streptomyces sp. BPSAC138
Lineage: Bacteria; Bacillati; Actinomycetota; Actinomycetes; Kitasatosporales; Streptomycetaceae
Description: bacterial SSU rRNA
Rfam family: Bacterial small subunit ribosomal RNA
Source: RNAcentral
AAGCCCUGGAAACGGGGUCUAAUACCGGAUAUUGACCUUCACGGGCAUCUGUGAGGUUCGAAAGCUCCGGCGGUGCAGGAUGAGCCCGCGGCCUAUCAGCUUGUUGGUGAGGUAAUGGCUCACCAAGGCGACGACGGGUAGCCGGCCUGAGAGGGCGACCGGCCACACUGGGACUGAGACACGGCCCAGACUCCUACGGGAGGCAGCAGUGGGGAAUAUUGCACAAUGGGCGAAAGCCUGAUGCAGCGACGCCGCGUGAGGGAUGACGGCCUUCGGGUUGUAAACCUCUUUCAGCAGGGAAGAAGCGAAAGUGACGGUACCUGCAGAAGAAGCGCCGGCUAACUACGUGCCAGCAGCCGCGGUAAUACGUAGGGCGCAAGCGUUGUCCGGAAUUAUUGGGCGUAAAGAGCUCGUAGGCGGCUUGUCACGUCGGUUGUGAAAGCCCGGGGCUUAACCCCGGGUCUGCAGUCGAUACGGGCAGGCUAGAGUUCGGUAGGGGAGAUCGGAAUUCCUGGUGUAGCGGUGAAAUGCGCAGAUAUCAGGAGGAACACCGGUGGCGAAGGCGGAUCUCUGGGCCGAUACUGACGCUGAGGAGCGAAAGCGUGGGGAGCGAACAGGAUUAGAUACCCUGGUAGUCCACGCCGUAAACGGUGGGCACUAGGUGUGGGCAACAUUCCACGUUGUCCGUGCCGCAGCUAACGCAUUAAGUGCCCCGCCUGGGGAGUACGGCCGCAAGGCUAAAACUCAAAGGAAUUUGACGGGGGCCCGCACAAGCGGCGGAGCAUGUGGCUUAUUUCGACGCAACGCGAAGAACCUUACCA